UUAUCUCGUUUUCAGUUUUAUCUCGUUUCAGUUUUAUCUCGUUUCAGUUUAUCUCGUUUUCAGUUUUCUUCUUUUGCAGUUUAUUUUUAUUUCAGUUUAUUUUAUUGGUCUUGAUAAGGAAAAUAGGUAAGUCUUCAAUUCCCUGUGGAUUUGAUCCUUUCACCACUAUCUGCAGUUGUAAAUUGUUGAUAACCAGAAAGGUUAUUUUUGACCGGCUUCGACAACCGCGAGUCAAAAAUUGGCGCCGUUGCCGGGGAAUUGAUUUAACUCAUUUGUUUUUCU
Molecule: long non-coding RNA, 282 nt
Filed under: Manihot esculenta (cassava)
Lineage: Eukaryota; Viridiplantae; Streptophyta; Magnoliopsida; Malpighiales; Euphorbiaceae
Description: long non-coding RNA (MESC_LNC012677)
Source: RNAcentral